Molecule: long non-coding RNA, 4082 nt
Organism: Piliocolobus tephrosceles (Ugandan red Colobus)
Lineage: Eukaryota; Metazoa; Chordata; Mammalia; Primates; Cercopithecidae
Source: Ensembl
AUAUACUUUACAUACGCUUAUUCUUUACAACUAGUUUAAUUUGCAAAACAUUAAGACCAUUUGUAUGAGAUUAUUUUUAUGGCAAUAAAUAAAACUUAAAAAGUACAAUAAAUAUAGAAGAUAAUUUACUUCAAAAAAAAAAAAAAAAAAUAACAUAACAUAACAUAGCAUAGCACAAAAUGAUGAUAUAUGUGUGUGUAAUACAUAAAUAAAAAGUGUUUAAAAAGUGUUUAAAUUUUUUUUUUUUUUAAAUAAAAAACUUAUAAACAUUGGAAUUAUAAUUUAAUUUAAAAUAUUUCUAACUGCUUAACUUUUUUUUUUUUUUUAUAUACACAUUUAUGUGUGAAAAAAAAAAAAUAAAAAAAAAACACAAUGUGAUUAUAAUUAACAUUAGCAUUACAUAUGUGAAGUGUUAAGUUAGUAUAAGAGAUAGGCAAAAUGCACAUAUAUAGAUAUAUGUCUUAAAAUGCAAUAUAUAAUAAUAUGUAAAACUAAGGGAAGUAUAUGAGCCAUUCCAAUGUUUAUUUUUUAUUUUUAUUUUUUUUUUUUUGUUGUCGUAAAAUACAAUAAAUAUUAAUCACUGUAACAUGGGUCAAACGAAUGGAAAAAACCGCCUGAUUAUUCAUGGAACAAAUGAAUGGUUAAUAGAUAAAAAAAAAGAUAUAUCUUUGUUAAACAUAAAAUCUGAUAAACGCAUUAAAAAUGUAUAUAAUGGUCCAAACAAUAUAAUAGUUAUAUAUGAAAAUGAUGAUUUUGAAAUAGCCGGGUUAAAUGCUCAUGGUGAAUUGGGUUUAGGUGAUAAAAUAAGUAGAAAUAAAUUAACGAUAAAUUCUAUACUUUCUAAACAAAAAGUUUUAAAAAUUGCAUGUGGAAAUAAACAUAUAAUCGUUUUAAUGUUAAAUAAUAAUAUAUUUGGUUGGGGUGAUAAUACAAAUGGUCAGUUAGGUAUAGGAUAUAGUACUAAAGAAAUAUUAUCUCCUUUACUUAUUUAUUUUAAUGAUAAGGUUGUUGAUAUUGCAUGUGGUUAUGACCAUUCUUUAUUUUUAACAGAGUGUGAAUAUAAAAAUGAGGGGAUUAGUGACAGUAGUGGAGGGAGUAGUGGAAGUAGUAUUGACAGUAGUAACGAUAGUAGUAAUGACAGUAGUAAUGACAGUAGUAAUGACAGUAAUAGGGAUGACUCAAAGGAUGUUAUAAAAGAACAUAAAAUAAACACCUCGGUUGUAAAGGGGACUACAAAAAAAAACUACUUAAACACAGUUGACAUAAAUGUAAAUGAUGGGAUGAAUAAGAAACAAAAAGAAGAAUUAAAAAGCAGUUAUAUUGACAGUGGUAAUGAAAAACUGGCUGGUAGUGUAAAGAGAAACAGAACUGUUGAUGUCGUAAAGAAAAAAAAAACGAAUGAAUGUGAUAAUAAGAAAAAAAAGCUUUAUUACAAUAUUUAUGCUUGUGGUUCAGGUUCAGGUGGUAAACUUGGAUUUAAAAAUGAAGAAAAUGUUUACUUUCCUAAAAAAGUUGUCAUUAAAAAAAAACGUCAAAAAAAAAAAAAAAUAUUAAAUAUAGAUAGUAUAUAUUCUAGUUACAACUACAAUGGUUUAUUAACAAGUGAUGGUGUGUUGUAUACUUGGGGAUAUAAUAAAAAUAAAGAAUUAAGUCAUAAACAAUUAUUUUAUAAGUUUAAAAAAAUAAAUGUGAAUGAGGAAAAAGUUUCAAAAGUAUGUUUAGGUUUAUUAUAUUCAGCUUGUUUAACAACAAAUAAUAAUUUUUUUAUUUGGGGUAAUGAUAUUAUUGGAAUAAAAAAAAUCAACAUAUCAUCUUACAAAAUUAAAAAUUUUUCAUGUAAUGAAAAUAAUAUUAUUAUAUUAACAGAAAAUAAUCAAUUGUUUUUACUUGAUACAUUUAAAAAAGUAAAAUCAUUAAAUAAGUUAAUACAAAGUAAAAUAUAUAAUAACACACAAAAAAUUAAUAAUAGUUGUAUUCGUUAUAAUUUUGUAGGAGGCGGUAAUAAUUAUAUUUCUGUAUAUAUAAACAUAGAGAAACAAUUAGAGAACGAGAAUGUUUUAGCUACAACAAAUAACAAAAAGGUAACAUUAGAAAAGAUAGAAAAAAAAAAAGACACUACUACUGAUGGUGGUAGAGAUAGUGGCAGUAGUAGUAGUAGUAGUAGUAGUAGUAAUAGUAGUAGUAAUAGUAGUAGUAAUAGUAGUAGUAGUAGUAAUAGAAAUAAUAGAAAUAAUAGAAAUAGUAACAAUAGUAACAUUAGUAGAAACGUGGAAAAAAAAAAUGUACGUCAUGUUUUAUUAAAUGAGAACAAGUUAAAAAUUAUAGAAGAUGUAGAUAAAACAUCAAAUAAUACAGCUAACGACAUAACAGAUGUCUUCACUAAAAUGGCUAGUAACGAUUUUAGUAUUAAUGAAAGUGAUGUGAAAAUAUGUAUUAAUACAUUUGUUAAUAAUAUAAAUAAACAUAUAAAUAUCCAUGAUUUAGAAAGGAUAAAAAAAUGUUCUACUAAAGAUGUAAGUGGUAUAAUACCAAAUAAAACAGAGAUAGAAAAUGUUUGUUUAAAUAAUAAAAGUGAAAUAAAUGAUAUUUUGGAAAAACAACUAUUUGAAACAAUAAAUUUUCAAGAUGUAAAGAAAAACGUGGACGCAUGUGUUAAUUUAAAAAAAAAAGAAGGAGAAGGAGAAGGAGAAGGAGAAGGAGAAGGAGGAGAAAAAAUACAUAAAGAAGAAUUUUUGUUACAAACACAAGAGUUUUGUGAAAAAUCAAAUGAACAAUUGGAAACAAACAAAAGUAAUAAAUUGGUAACCGAAUUAGAGAAAAACAAACCAAAGGAUUUAGCACUUUUAAAAAUAAUUAAUAAUAUGAAUUUUAUUAACAGAAAUAAGAAGCUGCGUGAAAAUAAAAGUAAAUUAAAAAAAAGGGAGAAUAUACUUGUUAAUAUUAAAAACGAAAAUGUAUCUGAUAAAAGUGGUAGUAACAAAAGUGGUAGUAAUAAAAUUUACCAUUGCAACAAAACAAAUAAACAUUAUUUAAAUAUUCCAAAAAUUAGUGAUAAAACUAAUUUAUUAAAUAAAAAAAAUCAAAAAUAUAUUAAUAAUUUAUAUGAUGUGGAAUAUAUAUUAAAAAACAUAAAUUCGAUAAAUUUAAAUUCAAUAAAUUAUGAAAACAUUGCUAUUGAUUAUAAUAUGUUACAAAAUAGAACUAUUGAACAUAUAAAUAAAAAUGUUAAUUUUUUAGACUAUUCUUUGGGUUCUGGUGAAAACAAUAGUAGGGACAUUAAUCACAGCAGAAACAAUAGAGAGAUAUUACAUGCUGAUGAUGUAAUAAUGAAUGGUAACUUGUCCAAAUCCCCUGAUUUGUAUGAUUUAAAUAAUAAAUAUAUUAAUUUAAAUAUUAUUCUAUUAAAAGAAUUGAAAGAACAAAAAAAAAUAAACAUUGUUUAUAGUCAUAUAUUAAAUAAGUUACUAAAAGAGUUAAAUAAUUUAAAAGAUGAAAAAAAAAAAUUAAAAAAAAAAGUAUUACUUUUACAACAAAUUAAUAAUGCCAAACAAUAUAAAUGUAUAUGUCAGAAAACAAAGAACAAAAAAAAAAAAAUAAUAAAUUCAUGUUUAAAAAUAAAAAAUUUUAAUAAUAAUUAUUCUUUAUGUGAUAUUUCUAAUGAAUACGAUAAUGGAAUAAAACAGAAAGUAAACAAAUAUGGUAAUAGUACAAAUGACGAUUGUGGAAAAAGCUAUGACUAUGUUGAUGGUGUUGGAUAUAUAGACGGAGUUAUUGAUAACAUGAACACCAUCAGUACUGUUGUGGGUGCAAGCGGACAAAAUGAUAAAAAUAUAAAGAACAAUAUUAAAACUUUUUCUUUAAGUAAAAAAAAUAAAUUAAAAAAAAAUAAAAAUGAUAACAAACUCCUAAUACCAAACAAUUUAUCAAUUUUGGGUAAAUUGGAGCCUAAAUUAGUUAUGAAAAAAAAAGAGAAUUUUGAAAUAAAUAACAUACCAAUUUUUUUCUUAAAUAACUAACUACUUAGAAAAGAAACUAAUUAGAAAAGAAUAAUAAAAAUAAUAUAUAAAUAAUUUUUCUCUACA